Molecule: long non-coding RNA, 1122 nt
Filed under: Lactuca sativa (garden lettuce)
Lineage: Eukaryota; Viridiplantae; Streptophyta; Magnoliopsida; Asterales; Asteraceae
Description: long non-coding RNA (LSAT_LNC002508)
Source: RNAcentral
ACGAGUACGAUUAGUGGCCAAUAACUUCUCAUAUACAUUUAGUCGAUCUUUAUAGGGAUGAGUAUUUUGGAGAUUUUCAUAUUCGUGUAUAUACCGCCACGAUCACAUUUAAAUAAAACAUUAAAAUCACUUUUAGAGUUUUUUUUUUAAUGUUGAUAACAUAACCAAAAGAUCGCCCUGCUUGUUGCACCCAAUCUAUUAAGUCUUUAUGACAAUUGAACACUUGAAAACGAUAUAAUGAUCAACAACUAGCAAUAUUCUAGAUGACAACCUUACUACAAAUAUAUAUUAAUGAACUUAAAUUUUUCCCAUGUUGGUUUGAAUACUUGAGUCAUUGAUGAAGUAACUACUUUUUUUUUCUCGUUUUCAUUUCCGUCGCCUUUAUAUACGUUUGCAUCAUCAUUAUCCGUCUACACAAAACACACGUUAGUAAUUACAACUUGCAAAAACAAUUUUAAAAACAAAAACGCUUACAUAAAAAUACCUCAUAAUUCGUUUGAUCGUUGAAUUGAAAAUACUCUUCACAGCCUUCAUAUGUGUUUGUAUGAAGAUUAUUCGUCUAUACGAAACACACACUACAAGUUACAACUGAUAAAAAAAUAAAAUAAAAAAUAAAAUAAAAAAUAAAACACUUAUACAAAAGUACCCGAUAGUUCAUUUGAUCGUUGAAGUGAAAAUACUUUUCACAACCUUCAUAUACGUUUCUAUGAACAUUAUGCAUCUACACGAAACACAUUGUACAUGUUACAACUUACAAAAAAAAAAAUAAAUAAAUAAAUAACAGUUGUAUAAACAUACCUCAUAUUCGGUUGAUCAUUGAAUUGGAAAUACCCUUUCCAACCCGCCAUUACGUAAAUGAUAAAAAAAACCUUGUGUUUAUAACUUAUUUUUUUGAUGAAAACUUCUACUUAUAGCAAGUAUUUUUAAUAUAUGAAAAUGGAGAAAAAAACAUAGUAUAGAAAAAUAAAAACGUGGAUAAUGGGAUCAUUUAGAAGAUAAGAAUAUAUCUUCUGAUCUUCAGUUCCUCCAUUCUUCCACUUGCUUGUUGCCGAAUAUCAGUUGUUCAUUGUUUCUUUUUUAUUUCUUAUUUGCUUGUCUAUGACUUGAAAGAGCAAAUGUCAA